AUUAAUGCAAAAUAAUGCCACUUGAUUAGUAUAGUAAUAUAAUAGUUUAAACUUGGAUUUCAUUUUUUUUAUAUGAAUUAAAUAAGAUUUUUCUCAAAAUCACAAAAAUUAAAAUCAAAUUUUAGUCUAAAAUGACAAAAUCGCAAUAAUAAAUGCACACAAUAAUUUCUGAAUUUACAGAGAAAUAUUAUUGGUGAGUCAGGUGAUGCCCUUCUUUGUCAGCUUAACCUGCACACAAUAAAUGAUGUAUGAUAGCAUUAAGAUGGUUCAUUAGUGAAGUACAUUUAUUUUCCAAUACAUUGUAAAUUGUAAUGGAUUACCCAGUCACACAAGUAGAAAUUGCCAUCCUUUAUACAGAAAAAGAUGAAUGAAAUAUGCACAUUAUUACUAUCCUUAAGCUGAUGAAGAAAGGCAUAACCUCUUAAGCUUCAUCAUUACCUAUCAUGUAUUUGCC
This 454-nucleotide long non-coding RNA is filed under the name Mytilus galloprovincialis (Mediterranean mussel). The stretch from base 81 to 126 matches the Rfam family "Histone 3' UTR stem-loop". Lineage: Eukaryota; Metazoa; Mollusca; Bivalvia; Mytilida; Mytilidae. The record is from RNAcentral.